ACAAAGCAAUUAAAAAGAAGGGUUAUUAGUAAAAGAUCAAUUAAAAUUUUGUUACAAUGUACCAUUUUAUAAUCUAACUUUGUCAAUUUUUUGGUUUAAAGUUGUGUGUCAUUCGCAUGUGAUACUUUUAAAGAGAAUGUUAAUCUUCAAAAUAUUGAUAGAGUUUAUCCGAAAAUUAUCAACACGAACGUGUAUGGAUUGUUACUGAAUUUAGCAUUUAUACUUUAAACACAAAGACUGCACUUUUUCUUCUUCUUUAUUUUUUUUUUAAUUUUUUAUAAAUGCAAGUGAUAUUGGGAAGGGAAAAAUCGAAUGUAGAACCUUAAAUGCAGGGGUAAAUGUUCUUAACCACUUCAACUACAAACCCCUUAUUAUUGCACAUAAUAUUAUAGGUUACAUAAUAAAUCACCUAUAGAGAAAGAUGAAAUAAACCUUUGGAAUGUGGGAGAAUAGAAGGGAAUGUGGGAAAACGCCAAAGGGAAAGAAUCCAAUUCCCCUAACAUUCCUUAAUGUCUCUGAUGCCACACAACAAAACAAGGUCCCUUUGAAGUUUGAAGAACGCAUGCCUUAUCAGGCUGACACAAAAACACACACACACAUCCCCCUAAUGUAAAAAUGGCCCAUCUCUCUAUCUCUCUCUCUCUCUCAUGUAUAUAUUGGCUCACCUUUUCAAGCUCCCAACAUGGAUUCUCUUUGCCAGUGCAAAACCCAUCACCUCUCUCAAGAGAUAGUACUAGAUUUUAUUAUCACACUUUUUCUCCUUUCAUCAUCUUUAAAUACUUAUGUGAGGAGAGAGAGAGAGAGUGAGAGAGAAAGAGAGAGAGAGAGAUUAUAUAUUAUAUCGUCUACUUUUAUUUUGCAUGGGAAUUUAAGGGCUAGCUAGUGAUCAUCGAUCCUUUUGAGUCAGUAUACAAUAAUAUAUAGAGAGCAUAGAUAGUUGAAGAACUUUUAUAUAUAAGAGAGCCCCACUCCCACUCUUGAAGUCAUCAUUGCAAGUGAGGUGGGUGGGGAUGGAUGGGCUGCUUUUUGCUUUGUUCGAUCAUACUUUUUUUUUUUUUUUUUUUUUUUUUGGGUUCUUUGGUAUUGGUAGGGUUGUUGAAGGGAAUGUUUCUUUGCUUGGGCUUGUAAAUUUUCUCGAUUUUAUCUUUAAGCCUCCACUUGUCUUGAAUUUGACCACCUGUGUGUGAAAUGGAGGAACAUUCAGGCACAAGCUCUGCUUGUCGCUAUCUAAUUAAUUAAUCAUUAAUUUGCAGUAUUUAUUUAUAUACAAUUCUGAUCAUUUGCUGUGGCACUAUUCCUUUGAUCAUUAACAUUCUCUGAUGAUGUUGUGUUUCAUUUGUUCAUAUAUGAACAAAAUACUGUGAUGAUGAAGUCACAUGUCACAUUCUUUGAUGACCAAAAUUCAUGAAAGGUGUAUUAACUGGCUCUUAAUUAGGUGAGUGAUAUUUUAAUUUCUUUCAAGUUAAAAAGAGGUCUCGGGUUCGAAAUCAUAACUUGCAAAACCAUUAAUAAUGAUACGGAAACUGGGAUUGUUUGGAGAAAUUUUUUUAUGAGCACAAAGAGACUCCUUUUUACAAAAGAAAGGGGGAGAAAAACAAAGAAAGUGACUUCUUUGGCUGCAGUUACAGUUGUGAAAUAUGCAGUCACUCAGUUAUGUACUGAUUACAAAUCAACAGUUUUGAUUCUUGUACAACUUUAUACACAUAAAAGCCAUGCAUAAAGCUGUAUCUACAUCAUUGAUAUAUACCAUGUGUUUCUUGUAAUUAAAUUCUUAACUUUUGUUCACAGAAAACAAGCAUUACAAAUUUUAUUUGGGGCCGGUGACAGUGAUGAUCUUAAAAGAGAAAAAAAAAAAAGGAAAAAAAGAGAGAGAAACUGGCCUUAAGAUCCCUUGCUUUUGGACAUAAGUUUGGAUCAUUGUGUUCAUAAUCUAUCUAAUCGAAUCCAAUUGAUCAUAGAAUACGUGUUAUAUAUGGUGUUGAAUCAUCCGAAUGUUUAUUACAUGGGCAUCCUUUAUGUUUCUGAUCCUAAGAUGUAAACCUCUGCAACUACAACAAUGCUGCUAUAAUAUUCCAACAGAAAUAAGAUAGUCUACUUAAAUUUUCUGUGAUGAUACAAUGCUUAUGGCCGAAACGAAAUCUCUUAAUCGUAGGGUUUGAGGUAUAUAGGGUUUAGGAUUUAUACUGAAAAGAGAAUGAAAGGCUGAAACAAAAAUCAUGGAUUUUGGCCAUAAGCACAUCAUCAGAAUAGAAAUAUAGAGGGUUGAACCCGUUCUAAUAUUCUACAGUCUAUAGUUACACACCAAGUAGGAGCUGAAGGGCAGCCCAUCUGUUUCCGGCACAGCAGUUCACCAUCACCCCCACAUAACUGAAUUGCUUGAUUGCCUUCAAAUCUGGUUGAAAAUGGGGACCUAUGGACUUGAAGUUUAUCAAGUAUGGAACUAAUUAGAUCCUGACCGACCUUUCCUACCAUGGAACCUUUCUUGUAAUCUAUCUUGUCCAAUUGUACUAUAAGUCUCUCCAUUAGCAUGUCGAGUCGCGAUCCUUAGAGGGUGGGCUUCUGUGUUAAAAACCCAUUCAUCCAAAGAGAUAAACGAUGGAGGUGAAAAGAGGAGAUAGAGAUACUUCAGCGUUUCUGCGAGGAAGAAGCUCUGCAUCAUAUUGUCUUUCUCACCUGAACUCACCUGAGCAAAAUUGGCUAAAAUACUUCAGUAAAAAUAUUAAUGUAUUCAGGGAUGUAAACAUAUACAGUAUAAACAAAAAAGGAGAGAGUCCAAAUCUUAACAAUUUGGUCAUUUAUUUUGCAACCACGUAAAGAUAUAUGCCAUGAGAAAUACAAGUGGUUCAGGGCAUAUAUGCAGCACACCAAGGAAUAUGAGAAAAUUUUCUCGUUCAUGGCAUAUAUUAAGUUCACCACCAACCUAACUUAGUGCUGCAUAUAUCUACUCUUAAACAUGCUGAAAAUACAACUCAGAUGUGGGAACUCUCAUUCAAACCAACCAGUCUGAGAAAUUGCGAUCUCCAAUUCAUGCAAGCAACCAAAACUCCAUCCCAAACUGCACAGUCUAGGAAAGAUUCCAGCCACAUUGCACAUAUAUGGACACUUACAACACCAUAGCAGUGAGGAGUAGCAAAGGGUUUCGGUACAUUUAUAUGUAACCUUCCCUUACAUGUCUUUCUUUUCUUCUAUUUUCUUUUGAUUUAUUUUUUGCAUGAACGUAGUGAGGGUGCAGUAGGAGGCAACAUAAUGAAGUUUUCAAAAUGAAAAUAAUAGUGCAAGAUGAUGAAAAUCAUUUAGUCAUGUGAGUCUUGAUUAUACGUGUGUUUCUAUGUAGUACCUACCUCAGAAUUCAAAGAAAAUAACAUAAAAUUCAUUUCAUGACAUGUUCUUACAUCUUUAAGUCCACUAUAUCCUGUAUCUACUCGAGAGUUCUUUUCAAAUGCUUGGAAAAUAUUCCAACCCCAUUCUUGGUAAGUUUUGUUCCCAGUUAAACGCCAUAGGUAAAAAAGUGACUCCACCGUCUCCGGCCUCAAAAUGCUCCAUGAUGUUCCAACGGUCAUGUCCUGCAAAAUCUUCUGAUAUAAAAUUACUAAAACAUCUUAGUGUAAAGUAUAAGAAGCAUGGAAGUACAAGACCUGUCCAGCAGGGAAGUAAUAGUUCUCUCCAGCCAAUUUUGUAGGUGUUGUCUGGUAAAAGUUAUAACAUGUCCAUGCAAGCUACAUGAUAAAUAGCAAUUCAAGACAUAAGCUAUUGGAUACCUGAUAAAAUUACCGUUUGAUUGUGCUUAUUGAUUGUCGAAACUGGAAUAGUAAAGGUUAAGAAGCUGUGAAACUUUGUUAGCCAAAUUAGAUUACAAUCUGAAAGCAGCGCUGUAUAGUUUAGGUGGUUAUAGACACUAUGAGUUAAGUUUUAAGUAAUCCUCUUCAUUCGCAAAUGAAAUUUUAAUUUUACCCCAGUCUAAAGGGUAAGUUAUCCAUAAACGAUUGGAAAUAAUAAGAGCAGAGUUUAUCCACAUCCAUAAUGUUAUGGUUGAUAGAAUCUGAAUGAUGCAACAUUACAAACACUUGAAAUCAAUACAGAUGAACAAUUUUGGUUGCAUACCAAGACAUUAGGGUAGAGUUAAAGGUAAGAUAAUCCAAGACAUUAGGGUAGACUGUACUAAGGUAUGACAAUGCACACUCCGAGCUCCUGUAUCUACUGCUAAUCCUCUAAUCUCCAGUCCACUCUAGAACAGCUUUUUUCCCCUUCUUUUCUAUCAAUAACAAAAUUUUUUGAAGUAAUCUUUGGGAUUCUGCAGAGAAAAUCUCCCCCUUAAAUGAUGAAAAACGUUCAGUUUGAUUUUCCUGUGUACACAGCCUUUUGUGGACUUAUUUGUAUUAAACCAAAGUAUUUUUUGACUUAAUGUUUUUGUACAACAUCAUAUGACCCCAAACCAAAACUGUUUUUAUUUUAUAUGGCAUUCCAUACAUACUUCUUCCACAUCCCUCCCACCACCCUUCCUUCACCCUUCCUCAUUCCUCUCUUUCUUCCAUAUAUUUCCUCUCUAUCUCUAACAAAAAAUGAAAACUCAAAAAUAAAACGAAAAGUUUACCAAAUGGGCCCUUAAAUUUGAAUAUUCUAUUCAAUUUUUGUGUCAGUCUCAAAUAAAAGCAACUCUUACAUGUUUUAUGCAAGACAGAGGAGAAAUUUAUUCCUUACGCUCCUUGUAUAAAUCAGUGUACCCUGUACCUAAUCAGAAUUAUGGAGUAUCAGUUUACUACACUAUAGUAUUUAAUACGUUUUUCCUUUCUUUUUGGGUGACAUGCCAAUUAUUAAUCAGGUGCUUCAAAACUUCCAUACAUAAGAGGAUAAACUGAGCCUGCUCUAGCAAAACAUGACCUCAAAUACUUUCUCCAUGGUACCUCUUCAGCAAGGGAUAAAAACUUUUCAGCUUCAUCAGGGCCAUAGCCAGUAGAUCCUAAAGCCAACAUUCCAGGAGCAAAGCAAGCUAAUUCAUCCAUCUGCAUACACCAAGCACAGCCCUCCAAAGUGUUCACAAUUUAAUUGACAAACACUACAUUCUGCUAAUUCAUACACUACCUUAUCGGACAGCGAGCUUCCAGUCUUCUCACAUAUAUAUGCAUAUGAGGAUGGUGUUGUCUUCCGAAUCAAGCUUUUCAGACCUUUCAUUGAUGUCUCCCACAUUUCUCUGAUUCCAAUAUAGAUAGGCAAUGAUUUUGUCAUAACAGAGAUUCAAUUAACUGCCUCAGAUGAGAUUAAUAAAGGUCAUAACAAAUCGUCAUAACUCAUCAGAGAAAAGAAGGAGAGCACACAUGAACAGGCAUGCGCAAAAGCAAAGGACUGACAUGUCUCAGCAUUACCAACUGUGAAAUGAUGAAAAUUGUGUACAUCUAUUCAUCAGGAUCAACUGUCAUUCAAAAUACUACUAAUCCAUCAUACUAACUGAUGUCUAAAGCUUCUCACCUGUAGUGCGUUACAGAUUCAGUUUUGUUCCCUUGUAUCCAAGCCUUGAGUAGAUAUUCAUAAAAGCUGCAUCCACAAAGACAUUUUGAAAAUUAAUUGGCCAGCAAUACCUAUGGAUAUAAACCCUCCGAAAGUUACUGGGUAAUAUGUGCUUUCAAUUUUGAGCCUUUUUUAUAUCCCUAGCUCGGAGGGUUACUCAAACCUUUCGUUUUUUACUCUGCUCGUUCCUUGAAGGUCCAAUUAAUUAAUAGUCAACUACAUAGAGGUUCUCUACAAGUCUAUAUAAUCUUUGAUUUCGUUCCCCCCAAAAGAUCAAUAUCACAACCAAUGAGGUCUGCAAGUUUCACAUCUAAGUAAUACCUGAUCCGAUAGUUUACGAUAUAGAUAGAUAUAUAUUUAAUAACAACGUUCUAAGAAAGGAUCAUCAGAAUACUUUAACCUAGUAAUUUGUUUAUAAUUGAGAAACAUGAAAAAAAUUCUAGAGAUCAUGACAUGUGAAACUCAUGACUGUCAUGGUCUUCUACUAUGAAGUUUUUAAUAAACAAUCCAUAAUUUGACUUCAUAUUUCAACUAGGCAAAUCAAUCAAAAAUUGAUGGUUUUACCUUCAUAACCUAAAACUUUCCUUCAACUUCUAUCAACGUUGUUUAAAAAUUAUCUAUAAAUAAUUAUUCAAUUUCAACUCAUUACAGUUGAAUCCCAAUAAUAGCACAAAAAUUCAAUCUAAUUCACGAAAUACAGUUUCAGGAUCAAAGGUCAGGGAAGUAAGCACUAGCUUGAACUAGAGUCAUAAACUCUGGUUCAACAGCCAAUUCUUCCCAGAAUCUACAAGGCCUCAAUUAAUAGUAGAAUGGUUGAAUCACACAUAUAAAGCCUGGCAUGGCUAACCUGUGAUUCCUCUCCUUUAACAGUAAUUUUCAAAUAAAUAAAAAAUCAUUUUUACCAAAUAUGGAUAACAAUGAUUCCUGAGUUUCAAUACCUAUCACCCAUGGCACCAAAGGAAAUUUUUGAGUAUGAGGUAAUUCCAGUGUGAGGAUCAAUAUAUAUGGGAAGCAAUCCAUCAGCAGGGAAGGUUUUAUGAAGCUCUUCAAUGACAUAUUCCACCUGAAAUAUCAGCAUGCAAACAGUUAUAGUGAGGAAAGGAAGCAAGGGGUUAUUCUAUCUAUCAUUUACAUUGUUUCUGCAUUCUAAAGAAAUUAGCUUGAGAUAUGAGGAUAAAAACAAUAAGUCCAUGGUAAGGAUAAUGCUAUUCAUCAAAUAGGCAGGAAUAAAUCUACGUUCUGAGCUACAUUGUGAAAGCAUAAAGAGCACCUUCUGCUGGUACUUAGGAUCAUUUGUCCUCUGAGAUAGAGCAAUAAAUUCAAGCUGCUCUGAACCAGCAUCUGCCAGAAUACUUUUUCCCUAGUAACAGGAAAUAUUUAAAUAAACAAAAAAGAUAGUCUGAUGAUGUUAGAAAAAGAUUCUUAACUGAUGCCAUUUAGAUGCCUACUUCAACUUAGCACCAUAUAGUUACAACCCAGAAAUUUAAACAGUAAUUAGUGUGAAUACAGACUUUACAACCUAGGUAACACCAAGCAGAUGUAUGGUUAUUUAGAGAUAUUUUUUUAAGGACGUUGCCUAUUGAGAGGGGCGAUAGCAUACUAAACUCACACACACUAUACAGAUGCUAGGACUCCAACCCAAGACCUUGCUUGAAGGAGUGAAUACUCCAAACCACUACACUAGUAGAUCCUUUGCGGUUAUUUAGAGAUUUAGUAGCUAAUAGAUCAUGUAGCUCAAACUCGGAAGAAGACACCAAAGAGUAUAGAUUUGAUAGAUCAUUUCAUCUCUUCAGACAUAUAUAAAAUACAGAAUUGAAAAUUUACUUGAGCCAUCUUUGAUCUUGUAAAUGAUAUUAUUCAGUUACUAAUAGUUUUAAUUUUUUAAGACAAGCAAACAAUAAAAAUGAUACAAACGAUUUGAUGUUCAGCUUAAAAAAUAAAAACGAAAAGCAGCAAGCAAUGCCAUAGAUGGAACUUACCCCUGUCCACCGAGGGUUACGGGCAUCCCCAUAUCUCAAGUUUAUUAUGUUAUAGGGGAUUCCUGAGGGUGUAUUCCACGCAGGCAGCAACCUAUCUGCAAUAUCUCUAGCCUUUUCAAGGAACACUUUGUCAUCAGAGAGAUCAUAUGCGCUAAGAAGUCCACCUAUAACUCUACAUUCCACAAAAGUAGCCACAAAAGAGUAAGUCACUGGAGAUGACCAGGUGCAAUGGACAUGUAAUACAAUAUUCUGGAACUUGUCCAAAUGAGGUACGGCCCCUUCUCCCACAUCCGAGAAAAGAAAUAGGUAACUUGGUAUUUAUAUAGAAUUAAUUAAACCUUCUAAUGCAACCUUAUGGUUGUCUCAAAAACACUAGCCUCGUAAUUCUUGUUGAAAUUCAACGACUUUGCAACCCACCUGAAAUAAUUUAUGAUUAUCAAUAUUAGCCACCUCAAAGUGAAACUACUUCAAGAAUGGAAAAAGUAAAACCUUAACCACAAUAAUUAAAAUAAAUUCAGAUAUUACAGCUAAAACUAUUUGAGAAAAAUAACCUGUCAAGAAAACCAUUUGCAAAUUACAAUUGUGUUUUCUCAAUCUGAAUGUGUAUUUUUACAGUUAUAUACAUGUUACGUGUCAGCCAUAUAUAUGGAGAAACUAUGAUCUGUGGGGGAGAUAAAUUAAAACAGUUAGAAACUCACUCUCUAGCUCUUUGGAAUUGCUCGUCAAGACCCAUUAUGUACAAGGUAUCAAGAGAAUCCACUAGAGUUGCUCCUAGACCGCCAAAACUAUCAACACCAUCUCUUGUUUGUGGCUGUUUAGAAUGAGAGUUUAAGUUAUUAGAGUUGCAGUAUUCAUUCGCCAACAUGCUGUCCCCAUUGUGGUGCAUUUCAAUUUUAUUCAAUGAAAGUUUGUUUAUUAUAUAAAAAAACAAAACUAGAGUAGUAGUAUUCGAAUCCACUAAUAAGCAAAUUAAUAAUGAAGCUAUGUUACCAAUGAAGUUAUGUUACCGCAUUUAUCGACCAAUAUAUAUGUUAGGAAAUCUGUUACAUGGAUCAUUGAUUGAGCAUUAAAGCAGGAAGCAUACCUGGAGUUCAUCACGACCCCAUGCGUACAUCUCGUAACAAGUCCAAGCAUGAAUCAUAGCCUCUUUAACUGCUCUUCUUCGUUCAACAUUGAGAGGAUCAUCCUCCUCCUCGACAAUGCUCCAACUUCUUAUAUUCUUCUUCACAUUCUCUAGCUACAAUUUACCAUUUAAAAAAAAUUCUCAAUUGCAAUUAAUUCCACCACACUCUAAUCUAAUUAAUUCAUCUUUAUCUGAUUCUUCAAAGUUAUCAGUUCCUUAUUCAACCUUGAAACCACUAACUAUUCAAAUAAAAACGCCAGACAUCACAGAUUUUCCAAUUUCCUAAAAUUACUCCAAUUAUUUUGGAAUAUUGAUACAAAUAGCUGAAUAUAUAGCAUGAGCAUGGUGCAUGCAUAAUUACAUAAAUGAUCCAAAAAAGAAAAGGAAAAAACCUGGUGCUCUACACUGAGAGAUUCGAGGCCAGAGAGCAGCCAUGUGAGAGCAACAAAGGAGAUAAUGAAGAGUGUCAACAGCUGCGGGCUCCUCAGGUUAUGCUGCGGGUGAAGAUAUCUCCACCCUCUCCACCACCACGAUUGCGAUGAAGAAGAUAACGAUUUUUUUCCCAUUUUUGGGUUUAUUUUUAUUUGUUGAGAAAAAAAUAAAAAAUAAAAGAAAAAUGAGUGAGAUUUGAGGUAGAAAUGAGAAUGAAAGCUUUUCGCUUUUGGAACUUUGAUUGGCUGCCAAAAUGGAAAUGGAAAGUCGUUGGUUUGAUUUUGAACUUGGAAGAAUGGCGUACUGAGUGGGACGGAGAGAGUCUACGUGGAUUGGGCUGGAAACGUUUGGGCCUUACCAAACUUUAACUUGGUUCCUAGCCCAUAUUUAAAAACUUUUUCACUAUUAGUGCUACGCCAGGAGGGAGUUCAAACUCUGGUGCGACGGAGUGGGUUUAUUGUCCGAAUCAACUGGUCUAACUUCCGUCUGCAUAAUAUACGCGUGAUAUUGAGAGACGGAUGAAUACUCUUUAAUCCCUUGAACUAUAUAUGCUUCGUUUUGUUCCAGACAUAUUUUAAAUCAUUACUUGCAAUGUGUUUCAACAUUUUUAAUCUUAGGGAUUAUCGGUGUUGGUUCAUUUUCUUGGAGAAACAGUCAGUUUAUUGCAACCAUUCAAAAUUUAAAAAAAUGACAUUAACUAAUGCACUUCGCCAUCUACCCCCUGAUAUGCCAGUCAAGACUUCAAAUUUCCGUAACCUCAUUGUCCAAGUCGUGCAACAGAGAGGCAGGCCAAAGAGAGCCACUCAAAACACCACAAACAAAACCAUCAAUCUAGCAUUUGACAUAUAGUACAGUACAAUGAACUUGUUUCCACCCAUCUACAUCUAGCCCUCAUCUGAAUGAGGAAACUUGCGCUUUAAGAUCUCAUUCUCCUUCCUCAGCUUCAUAAUCUUGGUCUUAAGUGUUUCAACCUGCCAAAUCGAAUUCGAAUCUCGUUGCUGCUCAACGAGCUUUGAUCUGCUAACCAGCACUAAGGGUAGCAGCAAACAAAUCAUUAGUUUUUGGCAGGCCAAAACAACCACCAAGAAAUGACAUGUAAAAUAAUUUGAAUAGCAAGAGAAACUGAAAGCAACCUCACACUCACAUUCCUUCUGUAAGUCCUGGAGUUUUUUACUCGACUCAUUUUUCUCCUCCUGUUCAAUUGCAAGACAGUCCUUUAAAUCCUGAAUCUCCAGAAUAUCUGCAAAGGAACAAUUAUCCAAUUGAUCAACAUGAGCAUGCUGUACCUGGUAGGUACUUGCUAACAGAGAUAAAAACGAAAGGAGUUCAUUGGGACCUCACAUUUUGAUUCCACAUCUAACUGCACAUGAUCCAACCUGCUUGCUAGAACAUGCAGAUGGGAUUUAUGAGCUGCUAAAUCCCGUUGAAGGUGAUCAAUGGUUGCUUCAUUUGUCGCCUUCUCAAGCAUAAACCCUCUGAUAUAAGCAAACAGUAUUAACAUUUUACGUAGAGUAAAUUUCUUUCCCUACACAUUCUAAGUUCGUCAAACUGUGGAUUGAAACUAUACUUUUAAACACGGUUUCAUCUAUAUUCAUUGAUUCAAAUUGACGGUCGGUUUCAUCUAUAUUCAUUGAUUCAAAUUGACGGUCUAACAAUGUAACAUACCUGCUACGAAGACUACUCUUAAUACACGUAGAUAAAAACCAUAUAUUUAGACAAGAUUUCAUCUUGACAGUCUGAUAACAUCCCAUACUCGCUAUAAAAAAAGAUAGCAAAAGAAGCUUUCUUAUAUCCUUUGACAUUUGCAACGUUAGCCAUAAUUCGAUACUCAAAUAGUUUCAAAACAAUCCUCAAAGAUAUUCAAGUAUCAAAUUUGGGCUAAAGUUGCAAUAUUUUUCAAUAAAAAACUAUAUUUUGGUAUUCACUGAAAAACUCACCUAAUUUGAGCCUCCAAGUCAUCAACCUUGGCAGCACAGUCUUGCUUAGCCAAUUCCAUGGCCUUCCUACGCUCUUCUUCUUUACUGAGGCACUCCUCCCUCAUCCUCUUCACCUCUUCUUUCAAGCCCUGGCUUGAGCUACGGCGUUCUAGCUGAUCGGCAACAUUGUUCAAACACUCGGUGUACAAUCUGGUCAAUCGCUCAUUUUCUGCAACAUUAUCAAAUCAAAUCAACGCUUUCCAAAUCAGUAAUCUGGAACAGUGAACUCGAAAACGCUGCGUUUAAUUAUCAAGAAGAAGUGACCGGCCUUGCUUAAGAUUGUUGCAGGUGAAUUCCAGAGCUUCUCGCUUCUUGGCCUCGGCAUUACACGUGGAAUUCGCCAACUGGAUCUCUGCCACGCCGCUCUUGAAAUCCUGAGAAUUCUGAGUUUGAAUUAAGAAAGAAAAAAGAAAAUCAUCGAUCGGUUUGUUUGGCUGCCGAGAAAAGCUCGUUUUCUCUUUUUUUUUUUCUUUUUUUUUUUUUCCGUGGUUUGCUAGGCAGCCAAACGGAAUCGGAAUAUAGGAUAGUCAGGAAGGAAGGAGGAAGAGGAAGAUUUGUACCUACCUGGUAGAUUUGAUCGAAAGUGGAAAGCAGAGAAUCCAUUUCUUUGUCACUGGUUGCCGCCAUUUUCUCUCCUUUUCCAAUUGCUGCACUUCAGCGCCUUUCUAUUUCUUUCUAUUUUUUGUUUUUGUUUUUGUUUUUUGUUUUUCGUUUUUAAUGUUUGGAUAUGGUCUGGGCUGGGUUAGGUUGGAUUGGGUUGGGUUGAGUUUGGAUAAAAUUAGUGAAGGAAAUUUCAUGUAAGUAUAAAAUAAAAAUAAAUGAAAGAAAAUAUACCGUUUAUGAGAAAAUUUUAUCUAAAUAUUAAUGGUUAGUUAAAAUUUAUACAAGAGGUUUGUAGCUCAAAUGAUUAGCAGCAAUUAAGUCACUCCAUGUAAUGUUCAAAUUUCUCUUUCACCAAUAUCGCUUGUACAUAAAAACAAAAACAUGAAUAGUUAUGCUAUCAACCAUUAAUUUCCUUCUACAUUAAAAAAAAAAAAAAAAAAGACCUUUUGAGAAAUAUUAAGGGGAUAGAUGGCUAUACUUGCAAUUAUAAAUGAGGUACACUUUGCAUAUUGGUUUAGGGUAGCCAAGUGUAGCAAAAAAUACACAAAAACUAACAACGAAAUUGUGCACACAUGGACAACCAUGGCAAUCCCGCGGUCACUAAACACUAAACCCUAUUUCUUCUAUUUCCAAGUGCCAAUUUUAUUUUCAUGAGCUUGGUCACCACAUCCUUGAAGUCCAUUCUUUCCUCUGGCACUUGUUCACAACACCUCAAGCUUAUUUCCAUGAUGGACAAAAUGAUAUUUUUUGUAGCAUUUACGUUUCUGCCCUCUUCUAUGCUCAAUAAACCAGCAUCCACUACUUCUAAACAAUUGUUGGGGAGUGACUCAUUUAUCCAUUGUCUCAAAGUCUGUUCUCCGGCAAACAUUUCAUCUGUGGGUUUCUUUCUCGUGAUUAUUUCCAACAUCAUUAUCCCAUAGCUAUAAACAUCACCUUUUGUAGACACUUUUCCUGUAGAACCAUAUUCUGUGGACACACAUCAAUUGUAAAACAAUUUAGAGUGUUAGUCUUAGUCUCACGCGGGAUGUGACACAAUCUCAGUUGUUGAUGAUUAUUAUGGGCUCCAUAAUCGAUGAGUGUGAAUCCCGUUGUUUGGCUCAUAAACAUCAACACCGGAAAUUGUGUCAUGAGCAAUAGAUAUGCUAGCAUUUCCUAUCAACUAAUCUACGACGAGAUAUCAAUAAUUCACCAUCAAAUUUCAGGUUUGCAUAAGUUAAGGACAAUUAGUUAAUCUUAGUAACUAAAAUACAUAAAUUACUUGCUUUACCUGGUGCAACGUAGCCAAGUGUACCAAUUGUUCUGGUUUGUGUUUCGUCUUUAUUUUUUGCCAAGAUUUUUGCAAGACCAAAGUCUCCCACAUGUGCAACCAUGUCUUCAUCGAGAAGGAUAUUGCUAGGCUUCAAAUCACAGUGCACCACAACUUCUGCUUGGCCAUGGUGAAGAUAUUCCAGAGCUAAGGCAAUAUCAACCAUCAUGCUCACUCUUUGUACAAGAUUCAGACAAUAGUUGUGAGAGUAUAACCACUUCUCAAGGCUGCCAUUACACAUGUAUUGCAGCACCAAAGCUCUUACCUCAUGGCUUGAGCAUGAAGUUAUGACCUUGACAAGAUUUCUGUGCCGGAUUGUUCUCCACACCUUACAUUCCGCAUCGAAACUUUUUAAGGCACCCUCCAUUUGCAAGUUUAGAACUUUCACAGCAACCGUUGUUCCAUUAGACAGUAUCCCCUUGUACACAGAACCAAAACUUCCUACUCCGAGUGCGUUGCUUUCGCAGAAAUCAUUAGUAGCACGUCGAAGUUCUUGAUAUGAUAUCAUUCUAUGCUCUAUCGCCGAUAACGUGGGUUCAACUGAGCUUGGAAGGCCUGCAUUUCUUUUUUUAUGGUACUUUAUCAACCUAUAAACGAGAGCUGCAAGGAUCAUCGUGGAGGCAAUGGCUGGAAGAAUAUACUUGAACAAAUGAAGUGCUGCCUUAUAAUUUUGAGUGCUUUGAGGGGUGCAAUUUCGGACACCAAAAUCUGGUCUCCCACAAAGUUCUCCAUUCUCCAAAAAUGAUUGGGCAGUGAAGUUGGCAAAAGGUCCGCCAGAAGGAAUCUGUCCCGACAGAUGAUUGAAAGAGAAAUUCAAAUGCUCGAGAUAUUUGAGUGUUUCCAGAGACUUUGGUAUUGUGCCAGAUAAACUGUUGUGUGAUAGGUCCAAAUCUUCCAACCCUUUCAGAUCACCAAAAGUUUUUGGAACGUUUCCUACAAACAGGUUGUUUGACAAAUUGAGAGAGCGUAGGCUUUGAAAAGCUGCAAUGACGCUUGGAAUGUUUCCAGCAAUUUGGUUCCAAGAUAAAUCUAUCACUUGAACAGCAUUCAACUUUGUCAUUCCUUGAGGUAAGUUGCCAUCAAAAGAAUUGAAUGACAAAUUUAAGACCAACAGACUUUCAAGGUUCCACAAGCUCAUGGGUAUCGAUGAUGUCAAGCUGUUGGAGUCUAGGAGAACUAUUUGAAGGCGCCUGAGGUUUCCUAUGCAAAUUGGGAUCAAUCCAGAGAUUUUGUUGUUUGAUAGCAAUAUUUCCCCUAGGUUCUUCAGGUGACAAAGCUCAUUCGGAACGAACCCUUCAAUGCUAUUGUUUUGAAGAUGCAAUCUUUGCAAAGUUUCCAAUCCUCUAAUUGAUGAUGGUAUUUUUCCACUCAGAUUGUUGUGAGCUAAGUAAAGGAAGGUCAAGUUCCUCAAGGAACCAAUGCUCUUGGGUAUAUGGCCUCUAAUUUGGCAUGCAGGUGCAUAAAUUACCUGGAGGGACUGAGAGAAGUUUCCAAUGGAAUCGGGUAUGAUGCCAUUUAGAGGAUUUUCAUACAAAAUUAUAUAUUCCAGUGAACUAGAAUUCAACAAAGAAGAAAGGAAUCUAAGCUCAUCGAACCCGGGUUCUCCCGUUAGCUGAUUUCUUGCCAAAUUAAGGAAUUGGAGAUGUUUCAAGCUACCAAGAUUCAUGGGUAUUGGUCCAUAGAGCAAGUUGUUGUCAGCAUCAAGCUGAGUGAGCUUAGUAAAAUUUGAAAAAUAAGUUGGGAUAGGUCCUGUAAUUUGAUUGGUAUGAAAAAGUAAGGAAUUGAGGUUAGGAAGAAAAACUGCAGAGGAAGGAAACUCUCCAGAAAGAGCAUUGGAUUGCAUUUCUAAACCUUCCAAGGAGGAGAUGUUGAAGAUUACUUGAGGUAUUGGACCUGUUAGGCUAUUAAAAGCCAAGCCCAAAAAAGCUAGAUUAGAAAGAUGUCCCAAAUUGCCUGGAAUAUUUCCCUCUAUGUUAUUGCGUCCCACAGCAAAUCUCUUCAAGUUGGACAUGUUUCCAAUUGAAGGAGAUAUAGUACCUGUCAGCUUAUUACCACCAAGGUAUAGGAUUUGAAGAUGUUGCAAGCUCCAAACUUCUUCUGGGAUGCUUCCAACAAAGCUAUUGUAUGACAGAGAUAAGAUCUUAAGCUCUCUGCAUUGACCAAUUCUAGAAGGGAUCUUGCCACUGAACUUGUUGAAAGAGAAUGAAAUGUUUUGGAUAUUUGGCCAAUAAUGGCAAAGGUCCACAGGAAGACUUCCUGAGAUGCUGUUCUUAGGUAGAGAAAUCAUUGUUAGAGAAGUUAGGUUAAGGAGAGCAGAAGAGAAUGAACCUGUGAGGCCGCUCUCGUCCAAGCUCAAUCUUUCCAAUGUUGAAAUGUUACCCAAGGGUGAAGGAAUUGUACCCGUGAGAUUAUUCAGGCCGAGGAAUAACGUACGGAGUCUAGGUAGGAAACCCAACUCCCUAGGUAUAGGACCUGUUAGCCUGUUUACUUCAAGGACUAGGACUUCGAGAUUCUGGCAAUGGUACAAAGUUGGAGGGAUGCUUCCUUGCAGCUGGUUGUUAUGCAAUAAAAGUGACCUCAGGCGAUGUAAACGGCUGAUUUCAUUAGGCAAGGGCCCAAAGAAGCUGUUGUUUCGAAGAUCGAGCGAGACGAGGAAGGAGAGGUUGCCAAUAUGAGGGGAAAUGGUGCCUUGGAGAGCCAUAUAGGAAAGCUUUAAGGCUGUGACUCUUUGCCUGCGUUUGCUACAAAAGACCCCAACCCAAUUACAGAAGCUUGUUUUGGUAGUCCAGUUACCACCCAAAACAAUAUUGGUGGGGUCAAAACUGAGUUUAGAUUGGAUGGCAAGGAGGGCAGAUUGAUCUGUGAAGUUGGAAGUUGAUGAAGAUAUGGCAGACUGAAGGAAGCAUGAGUAGUGCAAUAAUACAACUCCAAAAAGAAAGAGAAUUUUUGGGCAUUUCAUCAUGAACAUGAUGGGCAGUUUGGAUGUAAUAUUAAGGUAAAGGCUCAAGUUUGGUUUGAUCGUGUGUAAAUUUGCAUGAUCGGCCAUCCCUUUAUAUAAUAGUAGUGACAAGAUAGCCAUUUUCCUGGAGCUUUGACUUCAACAAUUAACCCUUGUUUUCUUGUACUUCCAUCAGCAUCAAUAAUUUAUGAGUGGGACCAUAUAACUUACUAUUAACUUCUUUUUCUUUUUCUUUUUUGUUAAUUGGGUCAAAUUUUGGAACGGGAAGUGGAGGUGCCAUUAGAGUUUGGAAUAUGAGACAACUUAUUUGCACGCGCAAAUGCUUUUACAAUCGAGCUAUUGACUUGUUGGCAACUUAUUAAUAGCUAAAUUAGUAAGCAUAUAUAGAUAUACAUGCAUGGUUUUUUUUAUUACAAGUAAUACUCUAAAUUAUAAAGGGAUGACGUAUUUUUCUCAUAUACACUACAACAGUGUUAUGAGGUUUUGAACUUGAGAUUACUAUUCUGCAAAUCAAGAUCUUUUUCUAUUGGAUUAGACUCUAUUGACUAUAUAUAUAUGUAUUUAAUCUCUAAUCAAUUUCUAAUAAUCAUUAAUAUUCUAAUUAAAAUCUCGACAAACAAUCUCAAACAACCUUAAUUAGAUCCAAUGUCAUGCAUUCCACGCUACGCCAACAUCCAAACUUAAUAUUGGGACUAAUAAAUCAUCAUGAAAUAGUGAAUUUGGAUUCACUUUUUUUUUUUCUCUUUCAUGUUUAUCAAACAUAAUCACAUUGGCCGUCUAUUUUCACCAACUUGUCAUAUUUCAUUAACAUGGGAAACCAAAAAAUUCUGCACAUUGUGUUUCCAUUGUCCAUGUGUAGGGCAGUCGUCUCUUGGGGUCUGAGGGCCAAAAGGUCAGUCAUCUUUAAGUCCCAUCAAGGUGCUAGAGUCUUUGAAGACCAGAAAUUUAUAGUCCUUGUCUAUAGGUCCCUCGUCCCAGCAGAUUGAAUAUUCAACUUUCUCGACAUGUCUUGAAGCAAUUUGUGCCAUGGAAUGGAAGUCUCUCUCUUAAGUCAACUUCCAAUGAAAUGACAGAAAGCGGAAAUUGUGAAAAAUUUCGUUGCUUGAUAAAUUUGUGGGAUUUACAUAUUCACAUUUCAGCACUACUCAACGAGACGAUUAAAUUUUUAUGAGCAAGUGGAUAAAGCAAAAAAUUUCUUCUUGUUUUUUAAACUAUAGGUUUUAGUAUUCAAAGAGCCUCCUAUCUUGGCUUCUUAGCUAAUUGGAGAGGAUUGUGAGAAAUGCGUACUCCAACAAUCUUUUAAGGGCUCGUCAUUUUAUUUUUAAUCUUUCAUAUAAUAUAUUAGACAAUAGGGUAAUAUACGACUUCAAAUGCAUGAGUGAAUACUCUUACCAACUUACUAAAUAGUAUUCAUUUCAAAACCAUACUUUUCAGCUUUUAAGUUUGAGGUUUAAGGGGGGAAAAAAAAAGUUUGAGGAGAGACUUAAAAUAUUUCAUUUGCUCUCUACAUUAACUUGGAAAUUGUGUUAAAAGCUAUGUUGCACGGACAUUCCAAACUGCUGGAGUGUCGAACACUCCGACAUGGCUCUGACAUGUCUCUGACACGCAUUGGACAUGGUCAAAGGUUGGGACACGGUCAAGACACGGCUCCGACACGGUCAAGACAUGGCAGGGACUAAUUUGAAAAUUUUAAAAUAAAAUCUGAGGUCUAAACUUGAUUUUUAAAACUUAGGUGGAUUUAUUUGUAAUAUUUUUAAAAAUAAGGGCUAAAAGUGGAAAAAUAAUUUUUAAAACCUAAAUCUCACUUUUUCUGCUGCCAAAGUUCAUUUCCUCCGUCACAGCUAUUCUCCCCCACUUCUUCUGGUUUUGCACAAGGUAAGUCUCUUUGCAAUUUUUUUUUUCUUUGUUUUCAAAUGCAUUUAUUUAUGUUCUCUAUUUUCUUUUUUUAUCUCCUUCCACAGCAGUAGAAGGGCUGGACUUGGUGGUGAGGUGACAAUUCUUUCUUCUAUUUUUUUUUUAAGAGAAACACAACAAAUAAUAACAACAACAAUGAAGACAUAGAUGCUUGAAGAAGAUUGAGAGUUAGAUCAUUUAUGUUUUAUUUUGUGGUCUAUUAAUUAUUAUGUAUAGAUGAUGAACAUUAGUUAUUUGUUUUGUUUUAUGGAAUUAUGUGACAUUGAAGUAUUGAGAAUAAAUUAUUAUUUUAAUUGUCGUGUCCUAACCGUACCCGUGUCCUAAUUUUUUGAGAUUUUCCAUGUUGCCGUGUCCCCGUGUCGCCUUCUCAUGUCCCCGUACCCGUGUCCAUGCAACAUACGUUAAAAGUAUAAGACACGACACAAUUGCAAGUGAGAUAUUCAAAGAUUUUUUUGAGUCUUCGUUUGUAGUGUAUAUAAAGAUCAAUCCACCACGUAUUCAACAAGUUUUGGCUCCAUUUCACACUCACAGUCCUUGUUUGAUAAAGACCUCUCACAAAUCUAACUCCAUCUCUCUCGACCGACCUGAGAGUCCCCAGAUAUUUAUUUCCAAUGUUUUCCGUUCUAAUUAAGUUCAAAACAAGGCAACCUUUAUGAUUUCCACGUGUAUCAAUAGCCAGAAAUUGUGGAUGCGCUCAAGUACUAAUUGACAAUACAAUGUGUUAGUAUUAAUUUUGUGAUUGGCAUUUCCUAGAGACAAAUUAGACUAAGUAUAGAUGGUAAAUUAGUUGUGAUGGUGGCUGUCAAAAUUCCAAGAUAUGCUCUGAAGACUUAUAUGUCAACCAACGAUCACUAAGGUAAAUUCUUCAUUCAAUCAUGUAUCUUGAUUGUGGUAUUUCAAGCAUUAUUUCAAACUCACAAUCUGAUUAACAUUUUGAUUAAGAAGUCUUUUUAUUUUAAGAAAGAUUAAUUUAUUUUAUAAAUUGCUUUCUAGUUUUGAGCCUUAAAAGUCUUCUUUGAUUGAAAAUCAAUUAGUCUGAUUUUGGAAAAUUAAUCUGUUGAUUAGGAACUAAUUGAUCUUGUUUCAAGUUUUGAAAACCAUUAUAAAAAGCAAGGCUUGGUUUUCAUUCGUUCAACAAUUUUCAAUGACUAGGGUAUUUCUUGAGUUUUCAUAUACACAAAAGAAAGUUGUUGAGCUUUAUUGUUCAUAAGGAUAAAUCAUCAAGAGUAAGAUUAUCUUGGUGAUUUGUCCUUGCAUUCAUUUGCAUAAGUUACAAGGUUCUCAUACCUCCGGUGAGAUUGGAUCGAUCGCGCCAAGAAUCAGAUUCAACAUAAGGAGAGAAUGAGAAAUCCCGCUAGAAGUUGAGUUACGAAGAAGUUGUUACGUUGUCUAGAGUGUCUAGGACAAGUUUGUAUACUUUUUGUAAUCAUCGUUUUAUAGUGAAUUUGCCUUGGACUAUCAGAUCCUGUGAAUUUUCCCCAGAGUGGGGUAUUACCACGCAAAAUACUUUCUUGUUUUUCUCUGCUUUUACGUUCUGAACUGUACAAGAUUGAUACAUCGUAUCAAUCCCCUUGGCAUGUUUUAUUUGUAUUAUUGCGAUACUCUUAAGUACUUAAAACACAGAAUUUACGUUUUUGGUGUUUUAAGCCAUCCUAUAGGUAUUUUCACAGUGCUAAUUCCUCCUUUGGGACUACCCCACAAUAUAAUUUUAUUAUCUAAACAAUAUCGUUUUAUUAUCUAAAUCUUUUAAACUUUAGGUCAUCAUUUCAAGAUCACCCUUGUAAAAGUUUAGCCAAAUUGAAAUUAUUUAAUCAUUUGAUUAUUAUCGUUAAUAUUUUCAUUGUUUUUAGAAAGUAUUAUGUUGGUCUAUAUAUUUUAUUAUAACUAAAUGACUAAGUGUUGUCUAAUUUAAUUUUUUUUAUUUUUAUCAGGGUGAUCUUUGAAUGAUGACCUAAUUAUAAUAAUGAACGGUUGAAAUCAUAAGAUAUGUGAAGUAGGCCCAAAUGAUUAGUUAGCUAAGCACCAUAUUAACUUCCUAAACCGGUUGCACUUGAGCUCUCCUGCCCAAGCAAAUAUACCAAGUACUCUAGAAAAAUCAACAAUGCCAAACAAAAUGUUUCUAUAAAAACUAAUACCUCUUGUUUUGGAAACAAAAAUACAUAUAUAUCAUGGGACUUUAUUGAAUAUACCUAAAUCAUAUGAGUCAAGGUUGUUCACAUACUGUGGUGGUGGUGGUAGAAAACGUGGAGUUGAGGGAGGGUAGGGGAAUAUAGGUUCGCAGAUAUUAAACCGAGAUUAAGAUAAAUAAUUAUACAUAGUUCGUAGAUAAUUAUGUAAUCAAAGGGCACAAGAAAAUGAAAGGAAUGUCUUUUCCACUCAAUCAAAGGACCAUUUUCAAUGAGAAUAUUGUACAACACUGUCUUGAAAACGAUACAAUUGACACAUUGUUGCAUAUGGCAAGGGUGAAAACAUGACUAAAUCUGAAAUUAGAAAGGAAAAUAUGUAUAGGGGAACUGCAACCUUUUUUGCAGCCUCUGCAUGCUACGGAAAUAAUUUCACAGUCUUUACAGUGGAUGCAAUUGUAGCAGCAAACAGAGUGAUAUGGAACAACAAGAAAGCAUGCGGCAGCUUUUAUGAUGUGUUUUGCAUUGGAGCUGUAAAUAGUGCAAUUUCAAACUCUUGCAAGUAUAGUAAGGUGGAACCAUCAAUCUUUCUGAGGAGAGUUUCAGAUUGCUUGCUGAUCCCAAGGCUGGGAGAAUUAAGAUUUAAGUAUCAUCCAUCAGACCUUUAAACAGAUUGAAUUGGUUUAUAUCCAAAUACAUUUAGAUUCAUGUUAUCAGAUUAUGAUCCGAAUUCGAUUAUCAGAAACUUAUCAGUCCUAGAGAAGAUUAAAAACAUAAUUCCAUUUGUUGUAUUUACCUACUGUUGAUUUUGAACCACCAACUCCACCGCCCUAUAUACUUAAAACUAUUUUCAUAUAACAUCCCAAUUAUAUGGUUGUUUUUCAUUGAGAACGUGUCAAGAAAUAUCACUCUCCGGUGGGCAAAAUAGGGCUAUACAAAUGCUUCAAGCCUGAGCCUAGCCCUAUUUUUUAGGCAUUGGGUUGGCUUGACCCGUUAUUAAGGGCGGUUUCAGCCCGACCUGUUGUGUAAAGAAUGGACACGUGCUUUAAAUUUUAUUCCAUGGGAAGCCGAGCCUUGCCCGGUAAUUAAGUUAAUAAAUCAUAUAUUUAUAAAAUAAGCUAAUAUUAAUUACUCUUUCAUUUAAUUAAAAUAUAUUUUUUUAAAACAAGUAAUAAUCUAAACUGAAAGGAAGAGAGUUUCUCACACAUACACUAUCAAGGUGUCAUGGAGGUUCGAACCUGAAAUCACUAGUCUAUAAGACAAGACCCUUAGGUAGAAGUAACACUUGUGUGCAACGAAAAUAGUAUUGUUUUGCUAUCUCUGGUCAAUCACGCUAUGUCAUGCAUGAUAACUUUUCCACUUGGCAUAGCGAGAUUGGUCGUAAAUAGCUAAACAAUGUUAUCCUCAUUUCAUAUAAGUUUUCUACCCAGAUAGAACCUGAUCUUAACCUAUUUAAGAUAACGUGGGUCGUGCCCAGCCUAUUAAACCCUUCGGGCCGAAAAAGCCUGCAACUGAGUAGAGCUUGGGCUAACUCCUCUCAGGCCAGGGCUGGCCCAGCUCAACCAAUUUUACAGCCCUAGUUUAGUUUAUAGUUUAUAAAUUACACCUCAAAGAUGUGUAGACAAAAAAUAAGCUUUUGGUAGAAAUCUACAAUAACUAAUAUCAAUGUACGCACAUAAUUCUAUCAUGGAGAGCUCUUACCAUUAAACCCGCAACCAACAAGGUUGGUAUUUGUGAUGGUCAGGACAGCAGACCCUCCGGAGCUACAAUCCUCCCGUGUGUUUUAAAAGGCAUUCAUCACGAAUGCUUCCCGAGUAACUUCAAAAUUUGGGGUGGUCAUGGAUGUGGCUUUUAUUUUUUACUUUUUGUUUUGUGUACUUAGUUUUUAUUUAUUUAUUUAAUUUAUAAAAUAUAUAUUUUUUAAUUUUUUAAUUUUUAAUUUGGCUUAGAAAACUCACAUUUGCCCCCAAAGUGUAGGUCACGUGUUUAUUUUUAACGAAAAAAUUGAUAGAUUUACUGAAAAGGACCACUAGUGCAACAUGUGAUCUAAUUGGAGGACUUGAUCUAAUUCGAUUUUUUAAUUUUUCAAUUUAAGUUAUCUUAUCUUUUUAUAAAUUUUGAUUUAUUAAUUAUUUUAAAACAUAAUGAAUUUCUUACGAUUUCUUAUCCACAUGGAGCACUUUGUCCGCAUUAGAGUUAAACUCACUUAUGCCACGUAAGCAUUUAACGGAAAAAUUAACAUAUUCACUAAUAGGGAGAUCAAUAUGUAAGGUUUAUGUGAGUUCGUGUACAAGUUUGCAUGAUUUUUAAGGUUGGAUAUUAAUCUGAAAUGACUCAAACCAAACCAUCUAUUUUUCAAGGCUACAUUCGUAUAUUAUCCUUGCCAAAAAUUAGACAAAUUGAAAACCGUUUUGACAUCUAAUUGUGUCCUACAAAAUAGAUGAACUCGGUGCUUCAAGAAAGUACUAAACUUACAAUAAUUGAAUGGCUAAACUAGUGAAAUGCCCCCUGAACUUGUGCCUAAUUUUCAAUUGACCCCCUAUCCUUUUUCUUUUUUUUGGUUGAAAAAUUAAAGAUAUGAACUCCUUUUUUUCGACAAUUUCCCCUAUGCGAUCAAAAUCUUCAACAUUUCAUCCAAUUUUCAAUUAAAUCAUUUAAAAAAAUUAUUUUUUUAGAAACAAUCAAAGAAAAAGAGAUCAAAACAAAAAAAAAACAAAAAACUUGGGACCCCUUGACCCAAACCCAUCCCCCCAUUUCUUCUCUUCACCACUCCCCAUGACCACCACCAACAGACACCUCCCCCUUCCUCCCACCCCCCACCCCCUUCCCCUAAUUUCUUCUCCACUCUCCCCUCUUUCCCCACUGCAACCCACCCAUACCCAAGGACAGGCCUAUGACUUGUACAACCUGGGCUAUAGCCCAGCUGAGUUUUUUUAUAUUUAUUUAUUAUAGUUAGUUUUAAUGUUAAUCUCAUUUAUAGCAGAAAUAUUAAUUUGAACUAAUUGGAUAAUUGUAGUGUCACCUCUAGUUGCCGUGUGUCUAUAUGACCCUAUCUUUGUGAUGAUAAAUUUUCAUUUUUGAAUCUUCUUUCUUUUAAUUAAUUUUUGUUCAUCAUGGUAGACCUUAGCUGGCAUUGUUGGAGUAAAAUAGGCCUUUUAAACAAAUAAAAUAAAAAUGAUAUGUUUUUAAGAGUCUCGUUCUCUUGGACCCCUCCAAGAGACUUGUGGUCACCCACCCUUAGAUUUAAUCCAAGGGUUAAGAAAAAUUUGCUUUAAAAUAUCUUUUUUCUUUUACCUUUUAAAUUUCACUUAACAAAAAAAGAAAAAACUAAAAACUAAAAACCCAAAAUCUGUUCUUCUUCCUCCCACUGCCCUCACGUUCUGCUUCCUCACAUUGUUGCAGCAACAACAACUCCGACUCCGGCGUAGCCAGCCAAAAUCCAGAGCGACUUAUUCCCUCACACUUCAACAAGGUCAGUUUCUUGUUCUUAUUCAGUUUUUCACUCAAUUUUCGGAUUUGAAAUCAUGAACCCAUAUUUGGGAAUUUCAAUUGGAUUUGUAUUAUUUUUUAUUUCAGAACUACUGGAACAAAUAUGAAUCUUAAUAUGGGGUUCUUGCAACUGGGGUCUUCUAUUCGAGUUUUUUCAGUGUCAAACAUGAAUCUUAAUAUGGGGUUCUUGCAACUAUGCUGUUUGUUACUCGCUAACAUGUGAAAAUCUGUUUUUUUUUCUUUUUGCAGACCUUCAUUUAUUUAUUUCUUCCAUUAUUCGAGAUUUUUCUUUGAUUAUUACAUAUGUUUGUAUUAAUUUUGUUAUGAUACAUUUAAGUGCAGGAGUGAUGGCAAAUGCAUUAGAUGAAUUUUAUAUCCCUCAAGUUAAAGAUGAAAAAAAACCGAAAGCAGGGCUGGCAUUCCAGUCAUUGGAUGAAACAUACGAGUUCUACAAUGAUUACGCAAAGGAUGCUGGGUUUAGUGUCAGGAUUAGUAAGGAGAAGAAAAAGAAAAAAACAGGUGAGGUUGUUUGGAAACGAUACGUUUGUUUUAAGGAAGGUGAAACAGAUGAGACAUGGAGGAAAAAAAAAAAGACAGUGAGUCUACACAAAUAGAAAGAGAACGAGGUAAUGUUCGUGAAAAUUGCAAAGCAAAGUUAACAGUAGUUUAUGAUGGGUUCAAUUUUGUAGUUCAGACUUUCAUUGAGGAACAUAGUCAUCCAAUUUUGUAGUUGUUGUUGCUGCAACAAUGGGAGGAAGCAGAACGUGGGGGCAGCGGGAGGAAGAAAAACAGAUUUUGGGUUUUUAGUUUUUAGUUUUUUCUUUUUUUGUUAAGUGAAAUUUAAAAGGUAAAAGAAAAAAGAUAUUUUAAAGCAAAUUUUUCUUAACUCUUGGAUUAAAUCUAAGGGUGGGUGAGGUCCAAGAGAACGGGACUGAUGUUUUUAAAUUUUAUACACACACACAUGAUCAAUUCCAUAAGCCUAGAAUCUAACAGUUCAAUAAGGUAAAUCUAGCCCACCUCAUUUUAAAAUAUUGGAUCCGUUCUUGCCCAUACCCAUUUCCCUCCUCCCUUGACCCGUUUCCCAUCGCAAGCCACCUAGACCCAUCCCUCUAACCCAGAACCCACCAUACUCCUUCCCACAACCCCACCCACAACACAACCCCCCCCCCCCCCCCCCCAAAACAAUUCAUCAGGAGGGGGAAAAAAUCAAAAUUUUAAAGUUUAAAAUUUUAUUUCUAAGUAUUUAUUUAUUUAAAACUUACAAAAUGACCAAUUGGCCCUCAUAUUUAAUUGAAGAUUGAAUGAAAUAUUAAGGAUUUAGACAGCAAGGAGGAAAUUGGUAAAAAAUAAAGAGUUCAUAUCCUUAUUAUUAUUAUUUUUUUAAGGAUAGGAGGUCAUUUGAAAGAUGAUCUUUAUAAUAUCGGAUUCAGGUGAGUGGUCAUAUGAUAUUAAUUCAAGUAUUUUUUGCAAAAAUGAUCUUUGUAUGAAUAUCUAUAAAAUAGACGGUUUGGAUUAGUGAAAUACAAUACGAAGUGGGCCCUGCAAUUAGGGACGGAUCUAAGAAUUUUCCUUGCAAUUGUCAACAUUUAACACGGUAAAAAAUUUCUAUACAAAAUAAAUCCAUAAAAAUAAAACGAUAAUUUAUAAUUUAUAAUUAAUAGAAAAAAUCAUAUUACAAUUGUCCACGAUGAUUUUUUAUAUUCUGAAAACGUCACAUUAUAGUUUCAUUAUCAAUACAAGCGAAUACAUCUUUCACAAUAUAAACAAGUAGGGAGUCUACUGGGAGGAGGAUUUUCCUUCUUUUUAGCCAAAGUAGCUAGGGAUGAGAGGAUAAAAAGUCUGCUGGAGAUGCUAUAAGCUAUCACUCAACCAUUGAUGGAGAAAAGCUAACUGAAAAUUCAUAUAAAACAACUAAUUGAGCCUCUCUGUUGUUUCGUUUUCUUAAGAAAUCUAUUUCAGCCAAGGCAAACCAAAUAGCUGGGAGGGAAUGCCUUAAUUUCCCCCAAGCCCAAUACUUCAAGAUCUUAAAUUUAUAUUUCCAUCAAUAUUUAAUCAACCAAAUACAAAUGAGGCAUCAAAUAUCAGUCCCACCAAGCAGUUAUCUUCACUUUUGUCAAAUAUCCAUACUUUUUCAAAGUUAAAAUAAAAAGAAGCCCUUUUCUUUUUAAUUUUUCCCUACAGACCAACUAAUGGGUCCUCAUUAAGCUAAACUGAAAUCUCAGAUUAGUGAGCAAAUCACAGAUAGCCAUCAAACUACAUUGAAAAAUAAUGAAGAAUUGACGAAACUGAAAGCAAAAGAACCAAGGCAGUGAAGGUGAAAUUUGACAUUACAUUUUGUGGACUUUAUCUCUGACGCGUCUCUUCUUAGCUGCCCAACAACCAUCAGAUUGCGAGGUCGAUAAAGCGCGAGCUGGGGAGGAGCGCUGCCCUUGGGGAACUGUCGUCGAACAGUUUGCAGGGGUCAAUUUUCUCCCCUCUAAUGGCAGAUUCCAGAGUUGCAGGGGUCACUUGAUCACCCUUUCUCCUCUGUGUAUCCGUCCUUGCCUACAAUGAUGUCCCUCAUGAUAAACCGUACAUUAUUUAGUUGAUACAUUUGAAUGACUAAACGAUCAACAAUCUAUAUAUAUAUUGAUGUAGAACAGAUGGCAGAUUUUAUCGCGGUUGAGCUAGAAAAAGGACGUAGCGGGAAUAUGCAGUUUUGUCGUCCAAGCUCCGAUUAGGACGCAAAAUACCUUUUUCGGAAAGGGAACGAAGCCACGAGUGUAACUCACAGCUUUGCCGUGACAUAAGGUGGAUUUUGGCAUUCUGAGGUCGUUUGGCCUUCCAAAACUGCAGUUAAAGUUUGGUAGUUAAUUUUCCAAUAAAUUCUGUUUUUGACAGUUUAGGAGUUACGUUAUUAAGACUCCAAAUUAAUCCUGUUUUUUCAGUUUUAUGUAAUAACUCCCCUAGUAGUUGAAGGGUUGAGGGUUGUUGAGAAAUGUGUAUUUAGACAGGUUUGUCUAAUGUAUCUGGAACUCAACUUUUAAUCAUAUUAUUCCAAGAGAGCUUCUCUUAAUUUUCUGGUGGAAUCCAGUUUUAUUGUUACUCACGGUUUCGCUUGAAACCUUUGUUGCUUGUGCUGCGUCAUAUAUAUAUAUAUAUAUAUAUAUAUAGAGAGAGAGAGAGAGAGAGAGAGCACCAGAGAAAAAAUUUCUUUCUUUUCUUUCAAAUAUGGGAUUACAGGAUAAAAAAUAAUCAUACAACACAAAUACAAUUACUUUUACAGCAAAUAAACUGAAAGAGGAUAUACAACAUAGUGACG
Molecule: long non-coding RNA, 26707 nt
Filed under: Prunus persica (peach)
Lineage: Eukaryota; Viridiplantae; Streptophyta; Magnoliopsida; Rosales; Rosaceae
Description: long non-coding RNA (PPER_LNC000188)
Source: RNAcentral